AUAAAACUCAGCCUCUCUGGGAGCAAAUUGUCACUCUCAACAUUCCGCAGGCUGGUGGCGGCGCGGGCUGUCCUCGGACGCAAACUACACCUCCCAGGAUUCCGCGAGCCAAGGGGGUGGUUCUGGCCGGGACCGGAGCGACUGAACUCGCGGCUUUGCGCACGCGCACAGGCUCCGCGCCGGGCUCGCCAGCCGGGCAGGCGCACGAGGGACACCUGCGAACCUGGAGGUGGCGGAGGCUGCGAACCCGGCGGCGCGGCCAAACCUGCGCUGGCUGCAUGGGCCUCCUGGGCCAGGAGCUGGCGCUGGGGGCGGCGGCGGUGUGGGAAAGUGGCGCCGCAGUGGGGCCUCCUGGACGUGUUGGCGGAGGUGGCUUCAGUCCCGCGGAGCCCAGGCUUCAGGCUUUCACCAGUUCUCGGGAUGCCCAUAGGGAUGGGUGAAGCCCGCCUGGCCUGUGGUGCUUCCCAGUGGCCGUCAUCUCACUAG
RNAcentral lists this long non-coding RNA (486 nucleotides) under Papio anubis (olive baboon). RNAcentral's name for it is "lncRNA (ENSPANG00000037403.1)". The record is from RNAcentral. Lineage: Eukaryota; Metazoa; Chordata; Mammalia; Primates; Cercopithecidae.